CAAUUGCUAUACCAGAGAGGACAUCUGCUGAUAAUGCCAUCUCAGUGAUUUCUCAUUCUGCUGUGCCUGUAAGAGCGCAGAGAGUUGCUAAUGACCCAAAUGUCCAGAUAGGGUCCAACUUUACUGUGGAGGCAGUUUUACCAGAGUCAUUGUCAGAGCAUCAUUACCCCCAAUAUGGUGACCAAUCUAACCUAGAUGAUGGUGGAGCAAGAGAUGUUCUCAUUACUGCAGAUCAUGAAAAUCUCUCACUUUUUUCGGCACAUGAUACAAAACCUGUUGGCUCUAUUGAAAUUGAAGAUCAAACAAUUGAACGAUCAGUAGAAACUUCAGGUCAAGAAGAGAGUCAACCCAUAGAACUAGGAGAUCUAUCAAAGCUAGAAAGAUCAGAUGAAACCAAAAUCCCCGAUGAAUUCUAUUCAGCUGCUGACAGUCGUCAAAGCAUAUUAGUGUCCUUCUCUAGUCGAUGUGUUCUAAAUGGAACAGUAUGUGUGCGUUCUCGGCUACUUCGCAUCAAGUUUUAUGGCUCCUUCGAUAAGCCACUUGGGCGAUAUCUUCAGGAUGAUCUUUUUGGUCAGAUAUCUUCCUGUCAAUCGUGCAAGGAGCCAGCUGAGGCUCAUGUCAUCUGCUAUACUCACCAGCAGGCGAAUCUUACUAUAAACGUUAGACGUCUUCCCUUGGUGAAUUCUCUUCCUGGAGAACGGGACAAAAAGAUUUGGAUGUGGCAUCGAUGCCUUAAGUGUGCACAAAUAGAGGGAGUUCCGCCAGCGACUCGCAGAGUAAUAAUGUCAGAUGCUGCUUGGGGACUCUCGUUUGGGAAGUUCUUGGAACUUAGUUUUUCAAAUCAUGCAACUGCUAACCGGGUUGCUAGCUGUGGUCAUUCUCUGCAAAGAGACUGCCUCCGAUACUAUGGGUGUGGAAGUAUGGUUGCAUUCUUCCGCUAUACUCCCAUUGAUAUUCUGUCAGUUCGUCUGCCUCCAUUAACCCUUGAAUUUAGUGGCUACACUGAACAGGAGUGGUUAAGGAAAGAAGCAGCUGAGUUACUUUGUAAAGCCAAAGCUUUGUACGCAGAAAUAUCUAGUGCCUUCCGCAGGGUUGAAGAGAAAAGUUACCCUGUAGAAUGUGAACCAUCCGAUACAACUCAAUUGCAUGACUGCAUUGUGGAGUUAAAGGAGCUGCUUAUGAAGGAAAAGAACGAUUACCAUGACUUUCUUCAGCUGGAUGAGGAUGAAACUUUCGACCCAAGACAGGGAGCAAUAGACAUUCUUGAGCUAAAUCGCUUGAGGCAUUCCCUCGUGAUUGCUUCACAUGUUUGGGAUCGUCGGCUUUUGUCCAUGAAGUCCUUCCUCCAAAAGAGUUCUGGUUCAGUGGGUUCAGAAGAUUGUGGAUCUUGUAAUGAGCUGAUAGAUUGGAGAAGGGACAUGUUUCUAAAGAAUGACACUCUCGAACAUGUUUACGAAGAGUCUGUGCCCGAGUUCUCAGACUCAGAGGAAUACCCCGAGAAAGCUCUGCAGUCUGAACAGGAGGGAACUGGUGUAUCACCUUAUGGUUCUGGUGAGCUAGAAAGUUCCAUGUUGACCUCAUCUGAGAGCGAGACAAUGCAGGAAAUGCAGACGGAAGGGGAGAAUACAUUUAAUCAAACAUCCUUGGAACGAGCUCCUUCAGCUGCAUCGGUCCUUUCUGAUCAGAUAGACUUUGCUUGGUCUGGCACUGAUCGUUCUCCCAAAAAAGCUCAGUUGCUACAAGGAGAUAGAUCUGAAGCUGCUCCUCUCAGACAACCAAGUCAACUUGAUUUGCCUCCUUUUAGAAGACUAAAGUUACCUGCAAGAGUUCACUCGUUCGACUCUGCUAUGAGACUUCAAGACAGAAUCAGGAAGGGGCUGCCACCUUCUUCAUUGCAUUUAUCAUCAAUCAGGUCUUUUCAUGCUUCUGGAGACUAUAAGAAUAUGAUCAGAGAUCCUGUUUCCAGUGUUCAGAGAACUUAUUCUCAGAUGUCACCCAGUGAGGCUCAUAAGUUUAAUCUCCUUAUGGGUUCUUCACCUUCAUUUAUUUCUUAUGCAUCUCUUAUACCUGAUGGAUCUAGGCUGAUGGUUCCACUCAAUGGUUCAAUAGAUGUUGUCCUAGCUGUUUAUGACAAUGAACCUACUAGCAUUAUAUCUUAUGCACUUUGCUCGAAAGUGUAUAGUGACUGGGUCACUGAUAAGUCAAGCGUGUCUGAACGGAGUUGGAACACGAGUGACACGAACAAGGAGGCUGGAGUGGCUUUUAGCCUUUCAACAUGGCAGUCUUUUGGUUCUCUAGACACGGAUUAUAUGCAUUAUGGGAGCCAUGGUUCUGAAGAUGCUUCCAGUACAAUAACUUCCCUCUUUUCAGAUUCAAAAACUUCUCCUCACUUAAGGAUCUCUUUCGAUGAUGAAUCUUCGAGUAGUGGGGGAAAGGUGAAAUUUUCAGUCACUUGUUACUUUGCAAAGCAGUUUGAUGCUCUUAGGAGGAAGUGCUGUCCUGAUGAACUGGAUUUUGUACGUUCCUUAAGCCGUUGUAAAA
This 2541-nucleotide unclassified non-coding RNA is filed under the name Hevea brasiliensis (rubber tree). The record is from RNAcentral. Lineage: Eukaryota; Viridiplantae; Streptophyta; Magnoliopsida; Malpighiales; Euphorbiaceae.